RNAcentral lists this ribosomal RNA (501 nucleotides) under uncultured bacterium. Its description in RNAcentral is "bacterial SSU rRNA". It matches the Rfam family "Bacterial small subunit ribosomal RNA", at positions 28 to 532 of the family's 1533-position model. The record is from RNAcentral.
GACGAACGCUGGCGGCGUGCCUAACACAUGCAAGUCGAGCGGGGUUGAAGCGAGGGGUAACUCGAGUUUCUAUCUAGCGGCGGACGGGUGAGUAACGCGUGGGCAACCUGCCUCAAGGACUGGGAUAACAGCUCGAAAGGGCUGCUAAUACCGGAUAUGCCUGUGGCCUCGCAUGGGGCUAUGAGCAAAGGGGAAACCCGCCUUGAGAUGGGCCCGCGUCCCAUCAGCUAGUUGGUGAGGUGAAGGCUCACCAAGGCGACGACGGGUAGCCGGCCUGAGAGGGUGACCGGCCACACUGGGACUGAGACACGGCCCAGACUCCUACGGGGGGCAGCAGUGGGGAAUCUUGCACAAUGGGCGAAAGCCUGAUGCAGCGACGCCGCGUGAGCGAAGAAGGCCUUCGGGUUGUAAAGCUCUGUCUGGAGGGACGAAGGAAGUGACGGUACCUCCGGAGGAAGCCACGGCUAACUACGUGCCAGCAGCCGCGGUAAAACGUAGCGU